AGCAGUCGCCGCGGGAAUACGGAGGGUGCAAGCGUUAAUCGGAGUUACUGGGCGUAAAGCGCACGCAGGCGGUUUGUUAAGUCAGAUGUGAAAUCCCCGAGCUUAACUUGGGAACUGCAUUUGAAACUGGCAAGCUAGAGUCUUGUAGAGGGGGGUAGAAUUCCAGGUGUAGCGGUGAAAUGCGUAGAGAUCUGGAGGAAUACCGGUGGCGAAGGCGGCCCCCUGGACAAAGACUGACGCUCAGGUGCGAAAGCGUGGGGAGCAAACAGGAUUAGAUACCCCAGUAGUCCCUGUCUCUUAUAC
This 303-nucleotide ribosomal RNA is filed under the name uncultured bacterium. RNAcentral's name for it is "partial 16S ribosomal RNA". It matches the Rfam family "Bacterial small subunit ribosomal RNA", at positions 507 to 807 of the family's 1533-position model. The record is from RNAcentral.